Regulatory RNA element from Dethiosulfovibrio peptidovorans DSM 11002, 120 nucleotides. The record is from Rfam. Lineage: Bacteria; Thermotogati; Synergistota; Synergistia; Synergistales; Dethiosulfovibrionaceae.
CGUAUUUUCGACCUGCCGUCGUGUAGUACGAAUGGAGCGACAGGACGUCGCCCCAAGCCGAGGGGGCACAGGACGUGCCCUCCGAGGCGGUCCGUACGAAACAGGCAGGUCGAAAAUACG